UCUGCAACUCGACUCCAUGAAGCUGGAUUCGCUAGUAAUCGCGCAUCAGCCAUGGCGCGGUGAAUACGUUCCCGGGCCUUGUACACACCGCCCGUCAAGCCAUGGGAGUCGGGAGUGCCUGAAGUUCGUGACCGUCACAGGAGCGACCUAAGGCAAGACCGAUGACUGGGGCUAAGUCGUAACAAGGUAUC
RNAcentral lists this ribosomal RNA (191 nucleotides) under uncultured bacterium. RNAcentral's name for it is "partial 16S ribosomal RNA". It matches the Rfam family "Bacterial small subunit ribosomal RNA", at positions 1304 to 1500 of the family's 1533-position model. The record is from RNAcentral.